Molecule: ribosomal RNA, 433 nt
Filed under: uncultured bacterium
Lineage: Bacteria
Description: partial 16S ribosomal RNA
Rfam family: Bacterial small subunit ribosomal RNA
Source: RNAcentral
AACGAACGCUGGCGGCAUGCCUAACACAUGCAAGUCGAACGAGACCUUCGGGUCUUGUGGCGCACGGGUGCGUAACGCGUGGGAACCUUCCCUUAGGUUCGGAAUAACUCCCCGAAUGGGGUGCUAAUACCGGAUAAUGUCUUCGGACCAAAGAUUUAUCGCCUUUGGAUGGGCCCGCGUUGGAUUAGCUAGUUGGUAGGGUAAAAGCCUACCAAGGCGACGAUCCAUAGCUGGUCUGAGAGGAUGAUCAGCCACACUGGGACUGAGACACGGCCCAGACUCCGACGGGAGGCAGCAGUGGGGAAUAUUGGACAAGGGGGGAAAGCCUGAUCAAGCAAUGCCGCGUGAGUGAUGAAGGCCUUAGGGUUGUAAAGCUCUUGUACCCGGGAUGAUAAUGACAGUACCGGGAGAAUAAGCGCCGGCUAACUCCGUG